UGAUCUGGCCAAGAAUGAUCCGUGGAAAGAGCCAUUUGAGAAUCUCCCUGAGAACGCAUUUGAGGAUAUUGCAGAUUGGGAGAGGAAAUUGAUUCAAGAACGUGUUAGGGCCAACCGUGGAACCUGAAGAUCUGUAGAGCUUAUGUAUGGCUUCGGAAUAAAAAAAAUCUACUUUUUGUAUAUUGUAAAGCUACUUAUGACUACAAAACCCCUGUGGUUGUUUUCUUCUCAACGUUUACAAAGCAUGAGGCAUUGGUCUCAAGACUUUGCACUAAAUGUUCUUAAGUUUACCAAAAUUCACACGUUAUUCUGGAUUUUAAAGAAGUAUUUUAUAGUAAUCAUAACACUUUUUCAACAAAAUUAGUGAUGGGAUAUUGGGAGAAUUUCCAUAUAGCAGACAUUGGCUCAUGUAAAUAAGUGUUCUAUUUCUGACUUAUGAAUUAAUCUGGGGUUUCUAUAUUCUUGGCCUAUGGACCCAUGCUAUAUAUGCUUUUUGGGCCAACGACCACAUACAAACUUGGUUUCAGGAUCUAUCAAUGUAAAUAUGUCUGCUUUCUACGCUCAAAAAGUCGUAUUUUAACUAUAUCUUGAGCAAGAACAACCAUAAAGUCAAAUAACUUUAUCAAAAAGUCCAUAAAGUCAACAAAAUUCCACCGCAAUAUACAAUAAAAGAGAUUCGUGUUAUCUGCAACCAAAGUUCAAAUUUGGCUGAGCUAAUGAAGGAGACAAAAGCUGCAUGUUCACACACACGUUAUGACGUUAAUAGUAUGUGUCACAAUGUCAGUGCAUGUCAGCAUGUAUAUGUGUACUUGAUGCGUGUGACGGUGAGAGUGUGAUCGUGUGGGGGAGGCUUGGGGAACAAGAAGAAGGACGCGGUCAAAAGUGCCGGUGCUUCGGCCUUUAAUGGUAGUAGUUGGAUUCUCCAUUCAUGAAAUAAAGUGCAUGAUUAUCUCCUUUCAAUUUGUUUUUUGGGGGGAUAUGAGGGAGGCGAUUCCGGCGUUCGUGACGAUGAUUAUGAUGCCGUUGACGUACUCGGUGGCGUACGGGUUGAUCGGAGGGAUAGGGACGUAUGUGGUGUUGCAUCUGUGGGAUUGGGGAGAGGAAGGGAUGGUGAGAUUGGGGUUUUUGAAAAGGAAAGUUGAAGAAGAGGAUAACAGCAAUGGAGUUGCCAAAAUUAGCGAGACUCAUACGUCCGUUUAGUUAUUUUCUUUAAAAAUUCGUAUGUUUCACAUUUUUGUUUCUAUUGAUUUGUACAACUGAGUGAUUGUUUAUUUGUAUCUCUUGUAGAUUUUUAAAUGGAAAAUUGUAAAAAUGGGGGGAAAAUAAUCUCGACAAGACUUUUCAUGUUCAGAAAGAAAAUUAUAUAUUAGGAUAGGACAGAAAUAAAUACUGUAUAUGAAUACUCCAAUAGUUAGUUUUGAAAGUUAUGUAAUGGAAAGUUGAGUUUGGUUUUUGAAAUGGUUAGUUUUGGUUACUCCAAUGGUAACAAAAUCAAACAUUCAUAUAUGAAUACUGACCUCCCAAGAAAAACAUUCAUAUAUGAAUACUAGUGAGUACUAGUAUUAGGCGUAUAAUCACAACUCAAAUCUAACAAGAACUUCAUUGAGAAGGGAGAAACCUUGGUCAGUGGCAGGUUCAAUUCAGAACAGAAGCAAAAAACCAAGGGAUGAAUACGUUACUCAUAUGAUAUGAUGACUCGCAAAAGCUGGUAACAAAAGCAUAACACCUCAAUAUUUGACAGAACCAAAAUGACGUGUGUGUGUGUGUGAUCACACAGUUAUGAUUUAGUACUCGCAGAAGCACCUUUGCAAAAACACACAAAUUGAAUAGAGUCAGAUUAAGGUUCAUUAUUCACAUUUCACUUAGCUGUUAACUCUUCUAACCAAGCAAACACACGCUUUAAAAAAAAUUCAACCUGUGAAUCAGGAGGAAAUUUAAAUUUACAUGCCAAUCAGGCUUAUCUAAUGGGCCAGAAUCUAAUAUUAAAAGCCCAUAAAAGAAAAAGGCCCAAUAGUAACAAAACAUCGUUAUCGUCCGUGCGAAAGGUUUGUGUGACCAUUAUUGUAAAACGUGAUAUUCUGCUGCAGAUACCAAUGUCGCAUCAGAGAAGCAGAACAAGUGAUAGAGAGUGAGUGAGAGAGAAGGAAACGAUGAGUUUCGCUGGAAGCAAGAGCUGUAUUUUCUCCCUUACGAAUCACUACAAAGAAAAUGAUAAAUCUUUCCGGCUCAAUUCGAUUAACAAACCAUCGAUUGAUCCAAAAAGAUUCCCGAGAAAUCUGGGAGUUUCCUGCAAAAUCUCAGGGAGUAAUGGAGCUGAGGAGAACCCAGGGAAGAAUGGGGUUUCUCUCAGCUCCAAGAACAAGAUGGAAGAUUACAAUACAGCUAUGAAGAGACUAAUGAGGAGCCCAUAUGAAUAUCAUCAUGAUCUCGGUACGAAUAUGACUUUCAGACACGAUCUAGUUAGUUUGUUGUUUAUCAGUAAUAAAGACUGUUCCUUUGACUCUGUGAUUAAGUCUUGUAGUAUAACUAAUAGUAAGUUUAGUUAGACUAAAGCUGCCGUUUUGGAGGUUAUGGUUUCUUAACCUUAGAUUAGGACAAAACUAUACUACAUUGGUCUUAAUGUUAUUUUGGAAAGUGUUUCUAACUAUGGAUGUGAGAAUGUUUCUAAAAAAUUGUUUUUUUUUUGUUGGGUCUUUGAUCUGUUCUUUUAAGGCAUGAACUAUACAUUGAUAAGAGACGAGCUGAUCGUUGGGUCACAGCCACAGAAGCCUGGGGAUAUAGACCACUUGAAGAAAGAAGAGAACGUUGCUUACAUACUUAACUUGCAACAAGACAAGGACGUUGAGUAUUGGGGAAUCGAUCUUGACUCCAUUGUCAAAAGAUGUAAAGAGGUCGGAAUCCGUCACAUGAGAAGACCCGUAAGAGAAUCAUUUCCCAAUGUUUUCAACCUGUGGAGUCAUAUAUGAAUGCUUAUCAGUUUGGGUGUCUUGUUUAUGAUUAGGCUAAAGACUUUGAUCCACUUUCGUUGAGAAGCCAGCUUCCGAAAGCUGUGUCUUCUCUGGAAUGGGCGGUGUCAGAAGGCAAAGGAAGAGUUUACGUGCAUUGCACAGCUGGAUUGGGAAGAGCUCCUGCGGUUUCUAUUGCUUAUAUGUAUUGGUUCUGUGGCAUGAACGUAAGUUAAUAUCCUCUUACUCAACUUCACUUCCAAGAAAGUUUUUUUAGUGAUCUGAUUUGGUGUGUUUCGAAACAGCUGAACACUGCUUAUGACGCAUUGGUGUCAAAGCGUCCAUGUGGGCCUAACAAAGGAGCUAUACGUGGGGCUACAUAUGAUCUGGCCAAGAAUGAUCCGUGGAAAGAGCCAUUUGAGAAUCUCCCUGAGAACGCAUUUGAGGAUAUUGCAGAUUGGGAGAGGAAAUUGAUUCAAGAACGUGUUAGGGCCAACCGUGGAACCUGAAGAUCUGUAGAGCUUAUGUAUGGCUUCGGAAUAAAAAAAAUCUACUUUUUGUAUAUUGUAAAGCUACUUAUGACUACAAAACCCCUGUGGUUGUUUUCUUCUCAACGUUUACAAAGCAUGA
Molecule: long non-coding RNA, 3575 nt
Filed under: Brassica napus (rape)
Lineage: Eukaryota; Viridiplantae; Streptophyta; Magnoliopsida; Brassicales; Brassicaceae
Description: long non-coding RNA (BNAP_LNC004690)
Source: RNAcentral